ACGGAAGUCCUCCAAUGGUAGGAGAGCGGUCUCCAAAACCGUUAAUGUGGGUUCGAUUCCUGCCUUCCGUG
Molecule: transfer RNA, 71 nt
Filed under: Bacteroidales bacterium
Lineage: Bacteria; Pseudomonadati; Bacteroidota; Bacteroidia; Bacteroidales
Also listed under: 3 other names
Description: tRNA-Trp
Rfam family: tRNA
About the family: Transfer RNA (tRNA) molecules are approximately 80 nucleotides in length. Their secondary structure includes four short double-helical elements and three loops (D, anti-codon, and T loops).
Source: RNAcentral